Molecule: long non-coding RNA, 1500 nt
Filed under: Calidris pugnax (ruff)
Lineage: Eukaryota; Metazoa; Chordata; Aves; Charadriiformes; Scolopacidae
Description: lncRNA (ENSCPUG00000013053.1)
Source: RNAcentral
UUACUGGGAGCAGUGGAAUGGGUUAGUGGGGUUACUGGGAGGGGUGGGAUGGGUUCCUGGUCAUUACUGGGAGAACUGGGGGAUACUGGGAGUAGUGGAAUGGGUUAUUGCGGUUACUGGGAGCACUGGGAGGGGUUACUGGGAGCACUGGGAGGGGUUACUGGGAGCACUGGGGGAUACUGGGAGCAGUGGAAUGGGUUACUGGGAGUGGUGGGAUGGGUUACUGGGAGCACUGGGGGAUACUGGGAACAGUGGAAUGGGUUACUGGGGUUACUGGGAGUGGUGGGAUGGGUUCCUGGUCGUUACUGGGAGCACUGGGGGGUUACUGGGAGUAGUGGAAUGGGUUACUGCAGUUACUGGGAGUGGUGGGAUGGAUUACUGGGAGUAGUGGGAUGGGUUCCUGGGAGCACUGGGGGAUACUGGGAGUAGUGGAAUGGGUUAUUGUGGUUACUGGGAGUAGUGGGAUGGGUUUCUGGGAGCACUGGGGGCUACUGGGAACAGUGGAAUGGGUUACUGGGGUUACUGGGAGUGGUGGGAUGGGUUCCUGGUCGUUACUGGGAGCACUGGGGGGUUACUGGGAGCACUGGGAGGUUACUGGGUGUCCCCCAGUUCUCCCCAGUUUCGAGGUGGUGCUGGAGCCGGAGGAGAAGUUCCUCUACAUCGACCGGGAGGAGGAUUUCCGGGUGUCCAUCACCGCCAGGUGGGACCCCAAAACCCACCCUCGGGGGGGGUCCUGCCCCCCUCCCCCCCACGGGUGACAGUGUGGGGUGACACCUGUCCCCAUCUUGGUCCCCACGGUUGUCCCCUGGCCCCACACCCUCAUCCUGGCCCCCAUCCCUGUCCCCAUGGGUGCCCUCUGUCCCUCUGUCCCCAUCCUGGUCCCCAUCAUUGUCCCCUGGCCCCACACACUCAUCCCUGUCCUCAUGGUUGUCCUCUGUCCCCAUCUUGGUCCCCACGGUUGUCCCCUGGCCCCACACCCUCAUCCUGGCCCCCAUCCCUGUCCCCAUGGGUGCCCUCUGUCCCUCUGUCCCCAUCCUGGUCCCCAUCAUUGUCCCCUGGCCCCACACACUCAUCCCUGUCCUCAUGGUUGUCCUCUGUCCCCAUCUUGGUCCCCACGGUUGUCCCCUGGCCCCACACCCUCAUCCUGGCCCCCAUCCCUGUCCCCAUGGGUGCCCUCUGUCCCUCUGUCCCCAUCCUGGUCCCCAUCAUUGUCCCCUGGCCCCACACACUCAUCCCUGUCCUCAUGGUUGUCCUCUGUCCCCAUCUUGGUCCCCACGGUUGUCCCCUGGCCCCACACCCUCAUCCUGGCCCCCAUCCCUGUCCCCAUGGGUGCCCUCUGUCCCUCUGUCCCCAUCCUGGUCCCCAUCAUUGUCCCCUGGCCCCACACACUCAUCCCUGUCCUCAUGGUUGUCCUCUGUCCCCAUCUUGGUCCCCACGGUUGUCCCCUGGCCCCACACCCUCAUCCUGGCCCCCAUCCCUGUCCCCAUGGGUGCCCUCUGU